This 1086-nucleotide unclassified non-coding RNA is filed under the name Hevea brasiliensis (rubber tree). Lineage: Eukaryota; Viridiplantae; Streptophyta; Magnoliopsida; Malpighiales; Euphorbiaceae. The record is from RNAcentral.
UGGAAUUGUCACAAGCCAUGAAGCUACAAUGCCUCUCACAGUCUCUGCUCCAACACUGUUUAGUCGCCUUGCAAACCCUACCCCCAUGACUGUACCCACCAAAGUGUGUAUUGCUGAAAUAGGUAGUCCCAGCUUCGACGCAAAUAAAACCACAGAUGCUGCAGCAAAAUUCUUUUCUGCAUCUUUUAUCUUCUCUAUUCGACCUGAAAACAGCACUAGUCCCGGCUUUGGACUUGCCAAUUCUUCAAUUCCUAUCAACUAUUCAUCAAGCCAGUACUUUGGCCUCUUUUCAAUUGCAACAAUGCCAAAUUCCAUCCCUCUUUUGGUAAUUGCCGAACGCUGCAUAUGCACAUCCUUCACAAAACCUAUCCAUAUCCCACAUUGAGCCGAGGUCCAUUGUUCCUGUGGAUUAUGACAUGUGUCUUAGUCCUAGAACAUGAUGUAAUAGGAUUAAAAUCAAGUAAGAAUACAUGUUACAGCCGAUAGGCACUCAGGAUUUCAAGCUCAAGCCACUUCAAAGAAAAAUCCUGCCACAGAGCAAGCAUCCCAAUGACUGGAGACCUCCUGCCUAAUCCAAGCACACAAGAGUAUUAAAUAUUUAAAAGAAAAGAACCUUAUGAAAUUCCUAUGGAGAGUUAUAAGAUGCAUAUUUUGAGCACAACAUAAAAUGUGUAGAGAAGGAAAGGAGCAUUGAGGGAGGAAUCAAAACUUGCAGCUUUCUCACAAGCAAAUCGGAAGUAAUUGCAUUUUCAGUACAAAAUCAUAGCAGAAUUUUAUUUUCAGCAACUGGGUGAACGGACUCUGCGAAGAUCGAUCUGGAUCGCAGCCAAUGUUGUUGUUAUGAUGGAAGGAAAGCUUUAUCCUGUGUUUGAUGAUUGCCGGACACGGCAUUGUAAGAAAUUCUAUAGAGAAUUGAAUCCUAAAGUCCAUACAUGUACAUUCCCUUUAUAAUUUGGGCCUAAAGUCUAAUUCAAAAUUUUGAAUUCUGGUCCAAAUGAAAAAGGUUUCAACGUGUUUCCCACGUUAUGGUCAAAAUAUUCGCCUUUCUCACCAUCAAAGCACUGAAAAUUCACAAGUCCGUGCUAG